Molecule: ribosomal RNA, 443 nt
Filed under: uncultured bacterium
Lineage: Bacteria
Description: partial 16S ribosomal RNA
Rfam family: Bacterial small subunit ribosomal RNA
Source: RNAcentral
CCUACGGGCGGCAGCAGUGGGGAAUAUUGGACAAUGGGGGGAACCCUGAUCCAGCGACGCCGCGUGAGUGAAGCAGUAUUUCGGUAUGUAAAGCUCUAUCAGCAGGGAAGAAAGAAAUGACGGUACAUGACUAAGAAGCCCCGGCUAACUACGUGCAAGCAGCCGCGGUAAUACGGAGGGGGCAAGCGUUAUCCGGAGUUACUGGGUGUAAAGGUAGCGUAGACGGCGAUGCAAGUCUGAAGUGAAAGGCGGUGGCCCAACCCCUGGACUGCUUUGGAAACUGUAUGGCUGGAGUGCAGGAGAGGUAAGUGGAAUGCCGAGUGUAGCGGUGAAAUGCGUAGAUAUUAGGAGGAACACCAGUGGCGAAGGCGGCUUACUGGACUGUAACUGACGUUGAGGCUCGAAAGCGUGGGGAACAAACAGGAUUAGAUACCCGAGUAGUC